RNAcentral lists this ribosomal RNA (460 nucleotides) under uncultured bacterium. Its description in RNAcentral is "partial 16S ribosomal RNA". It matches the Rfam family "Bacterial small subunit ribosomal RNA", at positions 338 to 795 of the family's 1533-position model. The record is from RNAcentral.
CCUACGGGUGGCAGCAGUGAGGAAUAUUGGUCAAUGGACGAGAGUCUGAACCAGCCAAGUAGCGUGAAGGAUGACUGCCCUAUGGGUUGUAAACUUCUUUUAUCAAGGAAUAAAACGAGGCACGUGUGCCUUUUUGCAUGUACUUUAUGAAUAAGGAUCGGCUAACUCCGUGCCAGCAGCCGCGGUAAUACGGAGGAUCCGCGCGUUAUCCGGAUUUAUUGGGUUUAAAGGGAGCGUAGAUGGGUUGUUAAGUCCGUUGUGAAAGGUUGCGGCUCAACCGUAAAAUUGCAAUUGAUACUGGCAGUCUUGAGUACAGUUGAGGUAGGCGGAAUUCGUGGUGUAGCGGUGAAAUGCAUAGAUAUCACGAAGAACCCCGAUUGCGAAGGCAGCUUACUAAACUGUGACUGACAUUGAUGCUCGAAAGUGUGGGUAUCAAACAGGAUUAGAUACCCCUGUAGUC